Long non-coding RNA from Stegodyphus dumicola, 1505 nucleotides. NCBI's taxonomy places the organism in Eukaryota, Metazoa, Arthropoda, Arachnida, Araneae, Eresidae. The record is from RefSeq and is a predicted model, not a curated record.
UGCAUUAAUUGUAACUUCAAGACAUACAGAAUAUGAAAUUGUAACUUCAACACAUACAGAAUAUGAAAGAAAACGCAGCUGAUGAUUUUUGAAAUGGGAGUCAAAUUCAUUGUGAUAUUAUCCCUGGAGAUGUAGCAGAAGAUAAAAUGCGGUUUGUAUAUUAUGAGAUGUAAAAUAUAAGAAUAAUGACAGCAAUGAAAAAUGACCUAACACUAGACAUUGCGUGAAUAUGAGCCGUAAUCGAAUCUCUUUACGAAGCGUGACAGUCUAUUUUGAAAAUUCAACAGUAGUGGAGAAUGUUCACUGACUUCAUUGAAGACAAGGUCAUCAAGAACACUCCUACCAAAACCAUUACUAUAGGAUGUGUGGGAGAUGCUCUCAAAAGCAGUCGUUCUUCAACAUCUAGAGAGGAGAAGAAUUUCCAAUUUAUUUAGGAGCUGUUCUCUCGAAAUCCACAAAUACUUCAGGCACUAUGGAACGUCGUUCAUACCUUCCACACUAAAAGUUGUUUUAAAGAAUUAACCUAGAAACAUCGUUAUUGCCAACAACUGUAAGCGAAAAAUUGUGAUCAUUGAAUGGAAUUCAGAGAGGCAUCUGACUGUUCGCAGGUGUUUGACAAUGCCAUUUAGAGUGACGAAGCCGUCUUCUAUAUUGGAGGAUUUGUGAACCGCUACAAUUGUCGCUACUGGACACUAGAAUAUUCUAUACCACUGUUGAAAAUAUACAAAAUCGGUUCGAAGUCACAAUAGAGUUCGACGCGACUUUCAGUUAAGUUACGAAGUGAUUUUUCAUUCGGGACAGAAUGCAUGCAAAUCGUUACCUAAUAAUUCCUUAAGAUUAUAUGUAACUUAUUAUCCCCAUUUGUUAGAAUUACAUCGAUUUCAUGCGCACUGGUCGUGAGUGGCUAGACCCCCAGUCAGAGGAAUGCUGACCUUGUCGUCGGGAUCCACAUGAAUCGUUAGUAAGAAAUCCUGAUCUCCCCUCAUGUCGCCUUUUUCCAGUGGGGCUGAGUGAAGGAAGAACAUACGAAGGCUAAAACUUUGGCUUAGUUAAGUGAAUGCUUUCGGCGUGUUCUGGAGCACAUAUUACUUGAGUUCUGGCAACAGUUGAAAAUAUUCCUGGUGCAUGUUGAAUUUUGAUGCUGAUACAUAUGUGAAGUUUUAACACAGAGAUGACUUUAUACCGUUAUAUUGUCUCAUUUAAAAAUGUCUUCCAGUAACUCGAACAAAUAUUAGUAUAGUUAUUAAUUAUUUUAAUAGGGAAUUAUUCUUUUAACAUCUAACCACUUUACCACUGAACGAGGCUGUUUUUUGCUAUAAUUAGUAAUUUAUCGCCCAAAAAUUAAUUAACUAACUAAAGCAGCACUCAGUCUAGUAAAAUCAAUUAAAGGUUUAAUAUUGUAUGGUUUUCUGAGGUUGUUGAGAGUUGCUUGCGCUGUGUGAAAUUGAGUUAUCUACCAAACGAGCAUACUUGAUGUAAGUGAAAUAAAAGGUUUUUAAUUUGUG